UGGGGAAUAUUGCACAAUGGGGGAAACCCUGAUGCAGCGACGCCGCGUGAGCGAAGAAGUAUUUCGGUAUGUAAAGCUCUAUCAGCAGGGAAGAUAAUGACGGUACCGUACAAGAAAGCCACGGCUAACUACGUGCCAGCAGCCGCGGUAAAACGUAGGUGGCAAGCGUUGUCCGGAAUUACUGGGUGUAAAGGGAGCGUAGGCGGGAGUGCAAGUUGAAUGUGAAAUCUAUCGGCUCAACCGGUAGUUGCGUUCAAAACUGUUUUUCUUGAGUGAAGUAGAGGCAGGCGGAAUUCCUAGUGUAGCGGUGAAAUGCGUAGAUAUUAGGAGGAACACCAGUGGCGAAGGCGGCCUGCUGGGCUUUUACUGACGCUGAGGCUCGAAAGCAUGGGUAGCAAACAGGAUUAGAUACC
RNAcentral lists this ribosomal RNA (413 nucleotides) under uncultured bacterium. RNAcentral describes it as "bacterial SSU rRNA". It matches the Rfam family "Bacterial small subunit ribosomal RNA", at positions 355 to 786 of the family's 1533-position model. The record is from RNAcentral.